UGGGGAAUUUUGGACAAUGGGCGAAAGCCUGAUCCAGCCAUGCCGCGUGCAGGAUGAAGGCCUUCGGGUUGUAAACUGCUUUUGUACGGAACGAAAAGACUCUGGUUAAUACCUGGGGUCCAUGACGGUACCGUAAGAAUAAGCACCGGCUAACUACGUGCCAGCAGCCGCGGUAAUACGUAGGGUGCAAGCGUUAAUCGGAAUUACUGGGCGUAAAGCGUGCGCAGGCGGUUAUAUAAGACAGAUGUGAAAUCCCCGGGCUCAACCUGGGAACUGCAUUUGUGACUGUAUAGCUAGAGUACGGCAGAGGGGGAUGGAAUUCCGCGUGUAGCAGUGAAAUGCGUAGAUAUGCGGAGGAACACCGAUGGCGAAGGCAAUCCCCUGGGCCUGUACUGACGCUCAUGCACGAAAGCGUGGGGAGCAAACAGGAUUAGAUACCCUGGUAGUCCACGCCCUAAACGAUGUCAACUGGUUGUUGGGUCUUCACUGACUCAGUAACGAAGCUAACGCGUGAAGUUGACCGCCUGGGGAGUACGGCCGUAAGUUGAAACUUAAAUGAAUUGACGGGGUCAUAGCUGUUUCCU
Molecule: ribosomal RNA, 584 nt
Filed under: uncultured bacterium
Lineage: Bacteria
Description: partial 16S ribosomal RNA
Rfam family: Bacterial small subunit ribosomal RNA
Source: RNAcentral